ACUCUUUUAGUAUAACUAAUAUUACUGACUUCCAAUUAGUAGAUUUCAGCAUAACCUGAAAAAGAGUA
This 68-nucleotide transfer RNA is filed under the name Rhynchocyon chrysopygus (golden-rumped elephant shrew). RNAcentral describes it as "tRNA-Gly". Lineage: Eukaryota; Metazoa; Chordata; Mammalia; Macroscelidea; Macroscelididae. RNAcentral also lists the same sequence under 3 other names. The record is from RNAcentral.